RNAcentral lists this ribosomal RNA (254 nucleotides) under uncultured bacterium. RNAcentral describes it as "partial 16S ribosomal RNA". It matches the Rfam family "Bacterial small subunit ribosomal RNA", at positions 524 to 776 of the family's 1533-position model. The record is from RNAcentral.
UACGGGGGGAGCAAGCGUUGUUCGGAUUUACUGGGCGUAAAGGGCGCGUAGGCGGCCAUCGCAAGUCGGUUGUGAAAUCUCUGGGCUUAACCCAGAAAGGUCAACCGAUACUGCGGGGCUAGAGUGCAGAAGGGGCAACUGGAAUUCUCGGUGUAGCGGUGAAAUGCGUAGAUAUCGAGAGGAACACCUGCGGCGAAGGCGGGUUGCUGGGCUGACACUGACGCUGAAGCGCGAAAGCUAGGGGAGCGAACGGG